GUAUCACAGUAGAUAAUUUUAGGUCUUGUUCAAACUUAAAGGCUAAAUCCAUCGCUAGACACUGUUUGAGGUAUUUUUUCUGUCUCCUUAAAUAGUUAUAAGUGAUUGUAGGUGUUUUAAACAUACAUUUUUAAACAUGUUUUAAACUUUUUUUUUUAUGUUGAGCCGGAUGUGCUCGACCUAUGACGUCAUGGGGUGAUUGAGCCUUCUGUCUGAUGUAAAAAUGUGUUCUCAAUUAUUGUGGCCUUCGUGUUUCUCAGAUUCUUCCUCUCCUUUCCUCUGAGUUUUUUUUGUUUUUGUUUUGGACAAAUCUGAAUGAUUCUUUGAAUUGGAUUUAAAUGUAUUUCUGCGGGUACACUGGACUCAUGGAAAACACGUCAAACCAUGGAGUUGUGUAUAUUAAAAAGGUUUACAUGGAUGCUUUCCUCAAAUGUAUCAGCACGUACCCCAUCGUACCUUUGGAUAAAUGUGGGAUAUUUAAAAUCAGUUUGUUUGAUCCUUUUAGGAAAAUGUUACACUACACACACCCUCUGCUAUAUCAAAAGAGAGUUAGCAUUUCGAGAAGUGCUGUCCGUGACCAUGACAUACCAUCUAGAUAUUAAGCGGCACUCAAAUGAUUAUGCUUGGCCACACUCACGCUAGUGCAAAGCUAGCAAACAGUUGGGUGGUGCUAGGUAUGAACAGCCAUUUUCAGCCAAUCCACUUAGAGUUGGAAGCUGUGCCAAGUUUCGCUUUGUGGCCUGCACUGUGACUUUGCUUCACAUUGGCAAAUCUAAAGUUUUUCCUGCCUUCCUGUUCGGCCAACGGUCCUCCACCCUUACUGCUUCUUAGCGCUUUCCUGUUUCUAGGCAUGCUGCUGCAGCCUAGUGUGUUAUGGGCAUGGGGUACAGUUGUGCUCAAAAGUUUGCAUAUCCUUGGAGAAUUGGUAAUAUAUGUACCAUCUGUAAAGAAAACAUGAGUGAGCGGGUAAAACACGUCUUUUAUUUCUUAUGGGAUUCACGUUCAACUGUAGGUCAUAACAGAAUGGCACAAUCAUAAAACUAAAAAUCUUUCUUGGUCUACCUGACCUUGGCUUGGUAUCUAGAGAUCCACAUUUUAAUAAUGCAAAUAAACAGGAAACACUUACACAAGAGCUGCUCAAAUUAAUUCCUGGAGAACUCCUUCCCCUGCUGUGAGCUUUUUCCAAUUCCAGUUGUGAAAGUUUAGCUAAUUAUUAAAAACAGGAUAAUGGCUCUCCUUGAACAGACCUGCCUCGUUUUUCAUGUAAUUUAUUAAACCUGAUAAAAUUAAGUUGCACAAAGUUACCUACACUACUGUUCAAAGGUUUCGGGUCACUUAGAAAUGUCCUUGUUUUUGAAUGAAAAGGUAGAGUAGCAAUGCUAGAAAAGCAAUUUUUUGUCCAUUAAAGAGUCCCCGUAAAACAGUGAAUAGGCGACUCCAGGAUGCUGGCCUUCUAGGCAGAGUUGCAAAUAAAAUGCCAUCUCUGACUGGACAGGAAGGUCAGGAAAAAAGUGUUAUGUACAAACAAAUCUACAUUUGAGGUGUUCGGAUCACAAAGAACAUUUGUUUGACCCAGACCAAAUAAAAAGAUGCUGGAGGAGUGCCCAUCAAGUCAAUCUAACUUGUGGGAGGUGCUUCAGGAGGCACGGGGUGAAAUUUCAAAUUACCUCAACAAAUUGACGACUAGAAUGCCAAAGGUCUGCAAGGCAGUAAUUUCUGCAAAUGGAGGAUUUUGUGACGGAAGCAAAAUUUGAAAGACAAUUAUUAUUUCAAUUAAAUAUCAAUAUUUUUAACCUUCAGUGUAUAUAUGUUCUAUUAAUUUUGCUAAAUUUCCUAUUAAAAUUAAUUUAAUGUAUGUUUUCAUGGAAAACAAAGUGACCCCAAACAUUUGAACGGCAGUGUACAUAAAUUCAUAUUUUGGCUGUCGGAGUGGAUAUCGAUUUCUCUAAAAAUAAUUUGGCUUUUAGUACAGGAUUAGAGUCCCUAAUUAGCUCAGUUUUCAAAUUAGUCCUAUAAUUCUGAGUGUUUCGUUGAUAAACAACAGAGGUGAAAUGUCCUGCAGUUGUGAUGUGAAGUGAGUCCUGAAUCAUAUGAAUGUGUAUAUAUAUAUAUAU
This is a long non-coding RNA of Esox lucius (northern pike), 2114 nucleotides long. The record is from Ensembl. Lineage: Eukaryota; Metazoa; Chordata; Actinopteri; Esociformes; Esocidae.